RNAcentral lists this ribosomal RNA (253 nucleotides) under uncultured bacterium. RNAcentral describes it as "partial 16S ribosomal RNA". It matches the Rfam family "Bacterial small subunit ribosomal RNA", at positions 524 to 776 of the family's 1533-position model. The record is from RNAcentral.
UACGGGGGGGGCAAGCGUUGUUCGGAAUUACUGGGCGUAAAGGGCUCGUAGGUGGCCAACUAAGUCAGACGUGAAAUCCCUCGGCUUAACCGGGGAACUGCGUCUGAUACUGGAUGGCUUGAGUUCGGGAGAGGGAUGCGGAAUUCCAGGUGUAGCGGUGAAAUGCGUAGAUAUCUGGAAGAACACCAAUGGCGAAGGCAGCUCUCUGGGACGGUACUGACACUGAGACGCGAAAGCGUGGGGAGCGAACAGG